Long non-coding RNA from Peromyscus leucopus (white-footed mouse), 1629 nucleotides. RefSeq lists it as uncharacterized. The transcript has 2 exons. Lineage: Eukaryota; Metazoa; Chordata; Mammalia; Rodentia; Cricetidae. The record is from RefSeq and is a predicted model, not a curated record.
AUCCUGCCUGGAGCCCAGACCUAGUCAGCUCCUGCCCCGUUCUCCUAAGGGCUUCUCCAGCCGUCUGGGAGUGGGCCAUGCAGUCUUGAGGCUGACCCCUGUAUGGUAAGGGUCCCAACCAGGGCAGGACAGCCUGGUGUGCAGGGCCCAUGGUGGCUGUGGAAGGUACUGGGGCAGGAGCUGCAGAGGGGGCAGCUGCUAAACAGUCCUUUCCCCUUUCUCUACCCGUGGGGAGACCCCAGACAUCCUGGCAGUCCUGCCAGCUGGUGUGGAUGAUACUGAAAAACUGUCACAUGCUGAUUCAGAUCACUGAGGAGCUGGCUCUGCAGACAGGAUUGGACCUGCCCGCUUCAGACCAAGUACAUUUGUCUUAGUGUCCUCCAAAGGCCCUGUCCUGCUGCCCCGACUCUGUGACAGGAAAAAGGAGAACAACAGAACAGCCUGGGGAGUUGGGGGGGGGGAGCACUGUGCAUUUGAGAACAGCUACAAGGCUACUGUUGCUCAUUUCAUGUUAUAAAGAUGCCUAUAACAAAACCAGCUAAUGAGAGGCUCAUACACAGAAAGGAUAAAAGGGGUCCCAUGCCUAAAAACUCUCAAUAAUAACUCCAGCGUAAUAGCCAAAUUCUGUGAGAUGCUGUCAACAUCAAUGAUGGCUGUGAUAACCAACCACAUGCUGCGUAAGUCAUAAAGCCUGUCUUAUGUUUUCUAUAAGGUUUAUCCAGAAACUUACAAGGCCAAUGGUUUAACAGUGCAUACGGAGGUAAUACUAAUGUAUCGCAUUACCCUAUGUUCAGAAUCUGGAUUCAGCCUUUUAUUAUUAAGAUGAUAUUGCCUAGAAAUCUCUAAGCUGCACAACUGCCAUCUUCCUAACUCCAGCUGUGCCUGCGCAAAAUAAUCACAACCGGGCUUAUUAAAUAUUAAUAUUCCUUUAGGAAAGGAGUAGGUAGGCAAGGUCACUGGACCCUCACCUGAGUGUCCUGUCACUAAUGUAAUUUAUCCCAAAACUGCACAAAGCCCCAAGGUUUUCUGGAAAAAGUAGGGUUUACAGGCUAGAAAAGUAAGAACAGAGGGGGUGUGUCAACCUAUGCAGCUGUGGGAAAGCUGCUACACAUACUGGGAAAAGGCCUCCAAAACAGAUAUUACCUAAGUUCCUACCCACUUCAGGGAAAACUUCUUAGAGCCAAUGGUUUUUUGUUAAUGUUAUUAUGCCUCAUGGUAUUUAUUUAUUUUUAAUUGUUUAAUCAAGGGGGCUUUAUAUGUAAAGGUUAAGAUGUAAUUACAGAUGUUUAGCUCUUUGAGUGACCCCAACCUCUUCUUGGCUCUUGCUCACAAAAAUGACCUCUCAUUCAAGGUCAUUGGUAUUGCUAAAUCUUACUGAGAAGUAAACUUUCUCUCUCCAGAUCAGUGAGACCUUAAAAAAAAUGUUAAAUUAUUUCAGAUGAGAUAAAUUAUGUAAAUAAAGAUAAAGACAAAACCAUAAAAGCUUGAAGUCAAGUCACAAAAGGUAUGAAUAUGCUGUACAGGGUUUAUUGGAGAUGAGAUUUAAGGUUAAAAUGUUUAAUGCUUAAAAUCUGUUAAUGUUCCCAAUGUUAUAAUGAUAUAUUUAUGUAAUAAAAACUGACUUGAAAA